GGGAGCGGGGCGUCUCCAGCCGGUGUGCGGCGCGGGCGCGAGGCGGCCUGGGACGUGGGUGCCCCGCGCCUCGGGCCCUCCCCAGCUCUCUCCAAGCUCGCGCCUGAUGAGGUGGUGGAAGGCGCUCCGGGGACGCAAAGAAGCUCUGGACCGGUUGGAGGCUUUUGACUGAGCAUCCAGUUAGGAAUCGCACAGCCAGGGAAUGAAGGGGUUCACGUAGUCACGUGCUUUAUUCGCCAGCAGCCCACUGGUCUUCAGUUACUGGUCCUGGGUUCCUGAGUCCCACGAGGCAAACCCAAGAACAGGGUAUUUCUUCCCAUGAUCCUCUAAAAAAGCCGACAAGAAGGGAAUCCAAACCACAAAGUAAAUGGCAUUAUAAUGAAGCCAAGUUCUGAGGAUGCGGACCCUUGGUAAAUCUCUGGCCACCAAGUCCCAGCAGUCUCCCUGUCAGGUGCCCAGCAAUUACUAGUGAACUUCACACACAUCCAUAAGAAACUGCCUCGUGGCCCGGCGAGAUGGCUCCGAGCUUAAGAGGAUGCCCCGUUCUUGCCGAGGAACUUUAGGGUUCCCAGCACUCCCGAUGGACAGCUUACCGCUCCCGCCCGGUAACUUAUCCUUCAGCUCCAGGGGAUCUGACCUGCUCCUCCAGUCUCAGGCACCUGCACAGGCUUGCACAGAGUAGCACACACUACACACAAUAAAUCUUUUUUAAAAGUAAACAUUUCAUGCAGUUUUGUAGUAUAUGCAUUUUAUAGAUAUGUAUCAGAGAAUCUUCAUUAACUAUCUUAAAAUGUACUAAAAUGCUCUAGUUACACAUCAGCAUGAGGUUCAAUUUUUUUAUGAAGAUCAACUGGACAAUAUGCAAGACAUUAAAGAUAGGAGCAGGUGUAUUUG
Long non-coding RNA from Meriones unguiculatus (Mongolian gerbil), 894 nucleotides. RefSeq lists it as uncharacterized. Lineage: Eukaryota; Metazoa; Chordata; Mammalia; Rodentia; Muridae. The record is from RefSeq and is a predicted model, not a curated record. The transcript is spliced from 4 exons.